This 533-nucleotide ribosomal RNA is filed under the name uncultured Pseudonocardia sp. RNAcentral's name for it is "bacterial SSU rRNA". It matches the Rfam family "Bacterial small subunit ribosomal RNA", at positions 355 to 897 of the family's 1533-position model. The record is from RNAcentral. Lineage: Bacteria; Bacillati; Actinomycetota; Actinomycetes; Pseudonocardiales; Pseudonocardiaceae.
UGGGGAAUAUUGCGCAAUGGGCGGAAGCCUGACGCAGCGACGCCGCGUGGGGGAUGACGGCCUUCGGGUUGUAAACCUCUUUCGACCGGGACGAAGCGUAAGUGACGGUACCGGUAUAAGAAGCACCGGCCAACUACGUGCCAGCAGCCGCGGUAAUACGUAGGGUGCGAGCGUUGUCCGGAAUUAUUGGGCGUAAAGAGCUCGUAGGCGGUGUGUCACGUCGAUCGUGAAAACUUACAGCUUAACUGUGAGCGUGCGGUCGAUACGGGCAUCACUGGAGUUCGGCAGGGGAGACUGGAAUUCCUGGUGUAGCGGUGAAAUGCGCAGAUAUCAGGAGGAACACCGGUGGCGAAGGCGGGUCUCUGGGCCGAUACUGACGCUGAGGAGCGAAAGCGUGGGGAGCGAACAGGAUUAGAUACCCUGGUAGUCCACGCCGUAAACGUUGGGCGCUAGGUGUGGGGAUCAUUCCACGGUCUCUGUGCCGCAGCUAACGCAUUAAGCGCCCCGCCUGGGGAGUACGGCCGCAAGGCUAA